CCAGAUUAGACAAAGAAAAGCAAGCCUCUGCACAGGGGUUUGGAGCAAGGUGUUGACCAAAAUUUGGAUGUCAGAACUCAAGCAGGGAGAAGAGGCUAGAGUGCAGUGGUGCGAUCUCGGCUCACUACAACUCCUACCUCCUGAGUUCAAGCGAUUCUCCUGCCUCAGCCUCCCGAGUAGCCAGGACUACAGUGUCGAGGUCAUGAAAGCCACUGAAAGACUGAGAACUGUUCCAGAAAGGAGACUAGAGAGACAUGGCAGCCAAAUGCUCCACAUAAUCCUGUCCUGGAUUCUUCUCCUACAAAGGAAGGGGUCUGAGGAUUAGGUGGUAGUACUGAGUAAGGAACUAUCAUCUCCUAUUGUGCUGUAGGCAAACUUGAGUGACAUGGUGGAAGCCACCAGAGAGAAUAUCUGAAGCAAUUCAUUAAAAUCUUGGCAGCCAGACCCCAGCUCCCACUUUCCCUGAAAGCUCCCUUUAAUGAAGCUGAACGCUGUCCCAGCAAUUCCCUCCACAGAAGACCUACUGUCACCACCUCUGGAGGGGCAAUUCCUGGAGGAACCAAGUCAGCCAAUCGAAGGUCCUGAAUAAGCAAAAACUAAGUAAAUAAAUUACCAUCUCGAAAGUGAUGGGUUAGUGUGCUCUUUUGAAUGCCCCGUAGGAAAAUAAAUUUGAUUAAA
Molecule: long non-coding RNA, 678 nt
Filed under: Homo sapiens (human)
Lineage: Eukaryota; Metazoa; Chordata; Mammalia; Primates; Hominidae
Description: HSALNT0124635
Source: RNAcentral